UCAUAUUGAACGCUGGCGGCAGGCCUAACACAUGCAAGUCGAGCGGUAGCACAGAGAGCUUGCUCUCGGGUGACGAGCGGCGGACGGGUGAGUAAUGUCUGGGAAACUGCCUGAUGGAGGGGGAUAACUACUGGAAACGGUAGCUAAUACCGCAUAAUGUCGCAAGACCAAAGUGGGGGACCUUCGGGCCUCAUGCCAUCAGAUGUGCCCAGAUGGGAUUAGCUAGUAGGUGGGGUAACGGCUCACCUAGGCGACGAUCCCUAGCUGGUCUGAGAGGAUGACCAGCCACACUGGAACUGAGACACGGUCCAGACUCCUACGGGAGGCAGCAGUGGGGAAUAUUGCACAAUGGGCGCAAGCCUGAUGCAGCCAUGCCGCGUGUGUGAAGAAGGCCUUCGGGUUGUAAAGCACUUUCAGCGGGGAGGAAGGCGGUGAGGUUAAUAACCUCACCGAUUGACGUUACCCGCAGAAGAAGCACCGGCUAACUCCGUGCCAGCAGCCGCGGUAAUACGGAGGGUGCAAGCGUUAAUCGGAAUUACUGGGCGUAAAGCGCACGCAGGCGGUCUGUCAAGUCGGAUGUGAAAUCCCCGGGCUCAACCUGGGAACUGCAUUCGAAACUGGCAGGCUAGAGUCUUGUAGAGGGGGGUAGAAUUCCAGGUGUAGCGGUGAAAUGCGUAGAGAUCUGGAGGAAUACCGGUGGCGAAGGCGGCCCCCUGGACAAAGACUGACGCUCAGGUGCGAAAGCGUGGGGAGCAAACAGGAUUAGAUACCCUGGUAGUCCACGCCGUAAACGAUGUCGAUUUGGAGGUUGUGCCCUUGAGGCGUGGCUUCCGGAGCUAACGCGUUAAAUCGACCGCCUGGGGAGUACGGCCGCAAGGUUAAAACUCAAAUGAAUUGACGGGGGCCCGCACAAGCGGUGGAGCAUGUGGUUUAAUUCGAUGCAACGCGAAGAACCUUACCUGGUCUUGACAUCCGCAGAACUUUCCAGAGAUGGAUUGGUGCCUUCGGGAACUGUGAGACAGGUGCUGCAUGGCUGUCGUCAGCUCGUGUUGUGAAAUGUUGGGUUAAGUCCCGCAACGAGCGCAACCCUUAUCCUUUGUUGCCAGCGGUCCGGCCGGGAACUCAAAGGAGACUGCCAGUGAUAAACUGGAGGAAGGUGGGGAUGACGUCAAGUCAUCAUGGCCCUUACGACCAGGGCUACACACGUGCUACAAUGGCAUAUACAAAGAGAAGCGACCUCGCGAGAGCAAGCGGACCUCAUAAAGUAUGUCGUAGUCCGGAUUGGAGUCUGCAACUCGACUCCAUGAAGUCGGAAUCGCUAGUAAUCGUAGAUCAGAAUGCUACGGUGAAUACGUUCCCGGGCCUUGUACACACCGCCCGUCACACCAUGGGAGUGGGUUGCAAAAGAAGUAGGUAGCUUAACCUUCGGGAGGGCGCUUACCACUUUGUGAUUCA
This 1455-nucleotide ribosomal RNA is filed under the name uncultured organism. Its description in RNAcentral is "SSU rRNA". It matches the Rfam family "Bacterial small subunit ribosomal RNA". The record is from RNAcentral.